RNAcentral lists this long non-coding RNA (705 nucleotides) under Carassius auratus (goldfish). RNAcentral's name for it is "lncRNA (ENSCARG00000054933.1)". The record is from RNAcentral. Lineage: Eukaryota; Metazoa; Chordata; Actinopteri; Cypriniformes; Cyprinidae.
UAAAAAUAAAGUUUAAAGAAGCUUUGAAACAUUUUAAGUUAAGUGUUUAUUUCCAGCUGUCAGCAUACAGUCAAUUUUAUCUCUAUAGACAUAUAGAUAGCUUCCAUCUCAUCUUUUCUGCUGAUUGACUGUAUUUGCAUGGUUAUGUAAGUUAAACAUUGGUUUCUCAAUUUAAUUUUUUUUUUUUUUUUUUUUUUUUGGCACCCAGGCUGUUCUCAAACCUGACCAGAAUAACCGGUGUUUAUUGGAGUGGCAGCUACAGAGCUGCAGCAGCCGGAUCAGGCUCAAAGCACCUACAGAAAGGCCUCUGAACUAGAGCCAGAGCAACUGAUUGCAUGGCAGCUGGCCAGAGCGUGGAGCAGGGAAUUCCAGGUGAGGGAGCAUUUGAAAGAACUUUGCAAUUGAUGAUAGAUGUGCCCCGUGAAGCCCACAGGAGCCUUUCACAGGACUACAUUAAAUGUCUUUCCAAGCUUCCUCAUGAGGUGUGGCCAAGCUAAAGGAAGUUUGUGAUGCCACUAUCCAACACACUCCUGCCCUCUAGAGGCCCUCAGUGAGCACUACAUCAGAACUGGUCAGUUUAGGUCAAAUUAAGUCAAUGGAGAAAAAAAAAUACACAUAACCUUUUAUUUUUUAAAUUAAUUGAAAUAGAAAACAACUGUUUUUAUUUGUAAUAAUAUUUGUAAUAAUAUUUCAUAAUAUUAUAGU